GAUGAACGCUGACAGCAUGCUUAACACAUGCAAGUCAUUGGCGAAGCUGCGCUUGCGCAGUCUAGCCAAGGCGGACGGGUGAGUAACGCGUAAGGAACUUGCCCUGCAGACAGGGAUAACAGACGGAAACGACUGAUAACACCUGGUAUUGUCAGGCUGGCGCAUGCCGGCCUGAUGAAAGGAGACGCUGCAGGAGAGCCUUGCGUCCUAUUAGCUAGUUGGUGGGGUAACGGCCCACCAAGGCGAUGAUAGGUAGCCGGCCUGAGAGGGUGAACGGCCACAAGGGGACUGAGAUACGGCCCUUACUCCUACGGGAGGCAGCAGUGGGGAAUAUUGGACAAUGGGGGCAACCCUGAUCCAGCAAUUCUGUGUGCACGAAGAAGGUUUUCGGAUUGUAAAGUGCUUUCAGCAGGGAAGAAGAAAGUGACGGUACCUGCAGAAGAAGCGACGGCUAAAUACGUG
Molecule: ribosomal RNA, 462 nt
Filed under: uncultured bacterium
Lineage: Bacteria
Description: partial 16S ribosomal RNA
Rfam family: Bacterial small subunit ribosomal RNA
Source: RNAcentral